RNAcentral lists this long non-coding RNA (761 nucleotides) under Salvia miltiorrhiza (redroot sage). RNAcentral's name for it is "long non-coding RNA (SMIL_LNC000615)". Lineage: Eukaryota; Viridiplantae; Streptophyta; Magnoliopsida; Lamiales; Lamiaceae. The record is from RNAcentral.
GCGUCCAUUGUCUCAGUGCUGAGGAGAGCCUUGAUCACUAAUUUCAUUAUGUCUUGUUCGGUAUUUUUCAGGUCCCCCCCUUUUUUUCAAUGUUCACCAACUUGCUUUGGUUUCUAUGACUUCUUUUAUACUGGUUGCUUAGCGUUGGAAACUUCUAUUUUGUUUCUCUGGUUGAUUUGGUCUUCAUGGAAUAGAUGUACUUUUGAUGGAUGCCCCUCCUCCAUCAUGGUACUCUUUCAGUUCUUAGGGCUUCUUUUGUGGAGAUUUCUCGUGCAUCUAGAAUGAUGGGUUACAUGGUGAAUACGGUGCAAGAUCUUCAAAUUCUGCCUACUUUUGCUGUUGCUGGGAGAGCUACACCUCCUCCCACCGGAAAGGAUGCAAUAUGGUCAGUAUAGAUGGGUCUACCUCAGGAACUCCAGGUUCUAUGUUUAAUCGCAGUAAUUAUUACAGUUAUUGAGAUAGCUUAUGGGCAUUUUCUUUGGCUGGGAUCUGACUCCAUGUAUGUGUUGUCCUUGUUAUCUCUGGUUUCAUAAAGUCCAUUGGCGUUUAAAAUCUCACUGGAUUAGGAUUUUGGAGAGGCUUCAGCUUAAAUAUUUUCGGGUUCUGAAUAUUUUUCAGGAAGGUAAACAAGUUGCGGAUAAGCUAGCUAAUCUGUCGUCCAAAAUCGGCUGGUGACCUUCAGUACACCCUUGGAUAUUUUGAUUUUAGUUGACAGGGACAUGCACUCUAAUGGAUUUAUUCGUGUUUGUUCUGGAAUUUAG